Molecule: long non-coding RNA, 719 nt
Organism: Talpa occidentalis (Iberian mole)
Lineage: Eukaryota; Metazoa; Chordata; Mammalia; Eulipotyphla; Talpidae
Exons: 3
Source: RefSeq, a predicted model, not a curated record
ACAUUUGUGUUUAGAACUUUAAAAGACUGGACACUGCUUCAGACUUGCCUGGCCGCUUCUGCCCUUCUCCUAUGAGUCUCCACCAGAAAGUGCCUUAUUCUUGUUGUAAGCCCUCAGGCCUCAGCGGUCCUGCUCUGGGCCAACUCUAUUUGGCUGGAUAUUUACAUGCAAUGGAAUGGCUCUAACAGCAGAAAAGCUGGGAACAGGUGAAGAAGCUGUGAUUGCUUCUCAGCCUUGGACUUGUGCCAGAGACUUGGGGGACAUGGAAGGAGACACUGGGAACAGAUGUGGGUGAGACACCUAUGGGGAGAUUACAGUGGCAACAUUUAUCUUGAUUUUGAUUUUGCUCUUUUCCUUCCAGACUUGUCUGGCUCUUUCUGCCCCUUUCCUAUGGGUCCCCACCAGAAGGUGCCUUAGACUUUUGACAGAUUUGGGGGCCUCAGUGUCCCUGUUUUGGAUCAAAUUGUUUGGCUGAGGUGACCCACAAGGGGAUGGGUAAAUUGGGGUGCUUGAUUGGGAAACAUAUUCUCUAUUCUGUUCCUUCAUUCUCUUUCUUACACAGUGAUUGUAUUAAAGUCCUUCCCAUUAAAUGUCUUAUGCACUAGAGUAUGUUUUGUUUUCAUGAGGCAGAUGGCAGAACCCAUUUAGCGUGGGCAGGUUUGGGAGUCUUGGGUUCUCUCACCCUGCCUGGUAACAGAACCUCCUUUACUGUGGAUAUC